RNAcentral lists this long non-coding RNA (431 nucleotides) under Phoenix dactylifera (date palm). RNAcentral describes it as "long non-coding RNA (PDAC_LNC004886)". The record is from RNAcentral. Lineage: Eukaryota; Viridiplantae; Streptophyta; Magnoliopsida; Arecales; Arecaceae.
UUUGAUGGAUCUGUCGGCUGCCUAUUUAAUUUUGAUCGACUGUCCUGGAUGGCCACUCUAAUUCUGGUCAUCGGUCACAAGCUCAUAAAGUAGAUUAACAUCAUAGUCAUUCUUUCUCUUUCUCAAGGUAAUGGAGGAGCCUGCACGCUUUAUUUUUCUUUGGAGCUCCACCCUCGUUGUCAUAUCAACAUAUUUACAGAGAUUAUUUUUUUUGCCUGGAGCGCGUCUUCACAUAUCUAAACUCGGGCAUUUUAAAGUAGAUAUCGAUAGUUCAUCAUUUAUUGACCAUCGUUCAUAGACACAAUAGGAGAGUUAUAUACCAUCUAUAUAGCUUUUUCAUGUAGCAUUAAUUUUACUAUAACACUACCCAAAGAAUACUCGGACAGCAAAAUGCAAUUUAAUUCACUUGCAGCGUCUGGAACCCACACCUG